UUCCGGUUGAUCCCGCCGGAGGCGACCGCUUUGGGAGUUCGAUUAAGCCAUGCGAGUCGUGAGUCUUAGGGACUCGGCAUACUGCUCAGUAACACGUGGAUAACCUGCCCUAUCGUCUGGAAUAACCUCGGGAAACUGAGAAUAAGGCCGGAUAGUUCACAAUGCCUGGAACGGUUUGUGAAUCAAGGUAGGAUGGGUCUGCGGCGUAUCAGGUUGUAGGGGGUGUAAAGGACCCCCUAGCCUUCGACGCGUACGGGUGUUGGGAGACAUAGCCCGGAGAUGGAUUCUGAGACACGAAUCCAGACCCUACGGGGUGCAGCAGGCGCGAAAACUUCACACUGCAGGAAACUGUGAUGAGGGAACUCCUAGUGCAUGCACUAUGUGUAUGUAGAUCCUACUCUUAACAAGUAGAGGGAAAGGGCUGGGAAAGACCGGUGCCAGCCGCCGCGGUAAUACCGGCAGCUCAAGUGAUCGUCGCUUUUAUUGGGCCUAAAACGUCCGUAGCCUGUUUGGUAAAUCUGUGGGUAAAUCAAUCCGCUCAACGGAUUGAAUUCUGCAGAGACUGCCAGACUAGGGACCGGGAGAGGUGUGGGGUACUCGAGGGGUAGGGGUAAAAUCCUGUCAUCCUUCGAGGACCACCAGUUGCGAAGGCGCCACACUGGAACGGAUCCGACGGUCAGGGACGAAGCCUAGGGGCACGAACCGGAUUAGAUACCCGGGUAGUCCUAGGUGUAAACGCUGUGAACUUGGUGUCGGGGGUCCGCAAGGGGUCCCCGGUGCCGGAGUGAAGAUGUUAAGUUCACUGCCUGGGGAGUACGGUCGCAAGGCUGAAACUUAAAGGAAUUGGCGGGGCAGCAC
RNAcentral lists this ribosomal RNA (858 nucleotides) under uncultured euryarchaeote. RNAcentral's name for it is "bacterial SSU rRNA". It matches the Rfam family "Archaeal small subunit ribosomal RNA", at positions 1 to 879 of the family's 1478-position model. The record is from RNAcentral. Lineage: Archaea; Methanobacteriati; Methanobacteriota.